Molecule: long non-coding RNA, 821 nt
Organism: Musa acuminata AAA Group (dessert banana)
Lineage: Eukaryota; Viridiplantae; Streptophyta; Magnoliopsida; Zingiberales; Musaceae
Exons: 5
Source: RefSeq, a predicted model, not a curated record
CACACACACACACCCAAAAGGCCACCGUUUUGCUGCUCCGCCUCGCCUCGAUUGGUCCGGAGGGGCGAUGUGGCGAUCCUCCACGCGGAAAUCCGGCUCCGCCGCCCCCGUCAACGCUUCCCCGGUUUCCUCCGUUGCCUGCCGCUCGGAGGAAAAACAGAAGUGCAUGUGAACUGCUUGAUCUUAUACUAGGCUUCCAAUUCUGGCCUCAAGUUGACAAGUUCGUCAAAUAUCUUAAGUACCAACUUGAUUACACGGUCAUAAACCUGGACCAGCGGACAAGCUUUCUCAGAUUUUGUAAAGAGAUGAACUUCCCAUAUCUUAAACAAUUAUGAUGCCGAACUUGCUUGGCCCUUAAUUUUGGACAAUUUCGUUGAGUGGAUCCGAGAAAAGCAAUGUUAAUUUUUUAAGAUGGUGUGAAUGGUGCUGCCUUGGUUAUGAUUCACUAAGGGCUAAAUUGUUUAAGAAUAGCAUCUUCCCUGCCGGGCUCAAGUCGGAAACAUCAUCAACAUAAUUUCAUAAUUUGUCCUAUCUACGCUUGGCCGCCCCUCUGCAUAUUUAGAAUUCUCCUGUGAGUUGUCAUCUAGCUUGUCUCCUUACUGAUUUGCUAGAAUGCCGAAACUUACUGGGUAACUCUUAUCGUGCCAAUGUUCUCCAUGUUCAUAUCUAAAAAUAUUGUUCUUAUUCCCAAUUGUAGUGGAUAAUUCAUUUGUACUGAAUCAUGUCAACUGUUAAUCCUGUUCUUAAAACUUGUAUAUGACUAUGUCUUUCUCUAGGAGCCUCAACGUAACAGAUUGAAAUGAAUUCUACUCUUUAGCUCA